Malurus melanocephalus (red-backed fairy wren) is the source of this 633-nucleotide long non-coding RNA. RefSeq lists it as uncharacterized. Lineage: Eukaryota; Metazoa; Chordata; Aves; Passeriformes; Maluridae. The record is from RefSeq and is a predicted model, not a curated record. The transcript is spliced from 3 exons.
UCCUGAUGUCUCAUUUGUAGGAGAAUUUAUUGCUCCCUACUGCAUGGGAAGGGAGACUUACACUUGACUAGAAAAUGCUUUAAACUGCAGAGCACUCUGGCAAAGCGCUCAGAUCAGCAUCCCCACCUUGCAGGCUGCAUUUGACUUUCCCUCYAGGAGUGCUGGAUUUUCUCUAAAAUCCCGCUGUCUUGCUCAGUGAAUGACAUGAUGGGCAGUGGAGAGACUGACUGACUGCUCAGUGAGGGAUAGUCCCCUUGGAUACUGGGGAACGCUGGCCUACAAGAUUAAUCUCAAGACAUGUUGCCAUGGGUUCCCUCUGCAGCGCUGCAAUGAGAGCUCUGGGGACAGCCCAAAGACCUUUUCAUACACUGGGGCAGAAGUUACCUGUUGCACCAUUGGAGCACGGACACCCCUGAUGGAGACAGGAUCCCCACCUUACCGGAUGCUACAUAAACAGCCAAAAUCAGCAGCCCUUGGCCCAGGUUUUUUAAUAAAAAUUACCCCAUAAGAAGAGGUAUAACUAGRCAAUGCUUGGAGAGAGGUGGGUAUUAACAGAUGUUGUGGGUUAAGGUUUCUCCUUUUGUUUCCUUUCUCGGGGAUUUUUUCUUUCCCAUUUUGUUGCUGGGAUACACU